AACGAACGCUGGCGGCAUGCCUAACACAUGCAAGUCGAACGAGACCUUCGGGUCUAGUGGCGCACGGGUGCGUAACGCGUGGGAACCUGCCCUUAGGUUCGGAAUAACUCCCCGAAAGGGGUGCUAAUACCGGAUAAUGUCUUCGGACCAAAGAUUUAUCGCCUUUGGAUGGGCCCGCGUUGGAUUAGCUAGUUGGUAGGGUAAAAGCCUACCAAGGCGACGAUCCAUAGCUGGUCUGAGAGGAUGAUCAGCCACACUGGGACUGAGACACGGCCCAGACUACUACGGGAGGCAGCAGUGGGGAAUAGUGGACAAUGGGCGAAAGCCUGAAAAAGCAAUGCCGCGUGAGUGAUGAAGGCCUUAGGGUUGUAAAGCUCUUUUACACGGGAUGAUAAUGACAGUACCGGGAGAAUAAGCACCGGCUAACUCCGUG
Molecule: ribosomal RNA, 433 nt
Filed under: uncultured bacterium
Lineage: Bacteria
Description: partial 16S ribosomal RNA
Rfam family: Bacterial small subunit ribosomal RNA
Source: RNAcentral